Molecule: long non-coding RNA, 685 nt
Organism: Ahaetulla prasina
Lineage: Eukaryota; Metazoa; Chordata; Lepidosauria; Squamata; Colubridae
Exons: 4
Source: RefSeq, a predicted model, not a curated record
UGUUCACAGAAAUGGGACUUUUCAUCCCACUUCUGCAAUUCUUUCACCACGCAAUAUUUCAGAGUGUAGAAAAUGAUACUCAGAAAUUCCUCCUAUGCUGUUUGCAUCAGAUGCAAUUUUGAGCUUCAAUAGAUUUGAUUGGGAAGGAAGAUGUGCAUUUAUGGCUUCCUCAUAUUCCAAGCCAGCCUCUCACAGUCUCCAAGCAGCCACUCAAGACUUCGAUAACAUCUUCAACUUAGCCAAGAAUAAUGAAAAUUUGAAAGCGUUGCCCCAGAAGCACCCAAGGCAGGAAAGGGAGAAGCAAGUCUGAAAGAGGUACCGGUCGGUGGAUGUUCUCAGAAGUAAGCAUAAGUGAUGGGUAUUAAGAACGAGUCAAUAUAUGUUUUAAAAUGACAUUUGCAACUGAACCCUACCCUGCCAAUAAAAUUGACUUCUUUAUUUAGCGAGUACAGAUCUGGUAGUUGAAAGGCUUUGAUUUCAAGUGGAGAAAGCAAGGAGAAUGACAUUGAAAGAUCACCAGCCACGGGCUUUUUAAAAUCCUGCUUGUUCUCAUACUGUAUUGUUGCUCCCCUGAUAAUGAUAAGUAUUUGGAACUUGUCAAGCCGUAACAAAUGUACAACUUGUGAAUGUUAUCCUGGCACAGAGAAUGCUUGAUUAAAUUAGUUAAUACAUCACAGUCCCAAAA